UACGAAGGGGGCUAGCGUUGUUCGGAAUUACUGGGCGUAAAGCGCACGUAGGCGGAUCGAUCAGUCAGGGGUGAAACCCCAGGGCUCAACCCUGGAACUGCCUUUGAUACUGUCGAUCUGGAGUAUGGAAUAGGUGAGUGGAAUUCCGAGUGUAGAGGUGAAAUUCGUAGAUAUUCGGAGGAACACCAGUGGCGAAGGCGGCUCACUGGUCCAUUACUGACGCUGAGGUGCGAAAGCGUGGGGAGCAAACAGG
RNAcentral lists this ribosomal RNA (253 nucleotides) under uncultured bacterium. Its description in RNAcentral is "partial 16S ribosomal RNA". It matches the Rfam family "Bacterial small subunit ribosomal RNA", at positions 524 to 776 of the family's 1533-position model. The record is from RNAcentral.